UACUAGAGUAGCACUCGCAUAUCGAAUAAGCGGAGGAAAAGAAACUAACAAGGAUUCCCCUAGUAACGGCGAGUGAAGCGGGAAGAGCUCAAAUUUGAAAUCUUAAAGGGUUUCCCUUUACGAAUUGUAGUUUAAAGAAGUGUUUUCUGUUGAGGUUUGGUAAAAGUUCUUUGGAAUAGGACAUCAUAGAGGGUGAGAAUCCCGUAUUUGACCUUUACUUUCAACUUUGUGAUACACUUUCAAAGAGUCGGAUUGUUUGGGAAUGCAGUCCAAAAUGGGUGGUAAAUUUCAUCUAAAGCUAAAUAUUGGCGAGAGACCGAUAGCGAACAAGUACCGUGAGGGAAAGAUGAAAAGAACUUUGAAAAGAGAGUUAAACAGUACGUGAAAUUGUCAAAAGGGAAGCGUUUGACACCAGUGUUGUUUUUCUGAAAAUCAAUUAAAGAACUGUUUAUGCUAAGCUGUUUAGACUUUAUCAGCUAUACUGUUUAGUUUUGAGCUUUUCUUUAAUGCACUUUUCAGUUAACAAGUCAACAUCAAUUUCUUUUGCUGUAAAAAAGCUUGAGGAAGGUGGCUUGAGAUUCGUCUUAAGUGUUUAUAGCCUCUUGCCUAUGCAGUCGGAGAGAUUGAGGUCUGCAGCGUAGAUCCUUCGGGGCUAAAUGCAUUUGUGCUAAGUUAUAGCAUUUUAUAGACAACUUGUUGACUAUGAUUUGUCUUGUAGCUUACUCGCUUAUGUUAUUUUACCUACGCUUAGGAUGUUGAGCGCAUGUCUCUCUCU
RNAcentral lists this ribosomal RNA (775 nucleotides) under uncultured Neocallimastigales. RNAcentral's name for it is "partial large subunit ribosomal RNA". It matches the Rfam family "Eukaryotic large subunit ribosomal RNA", at positions 20 to 616 of the family's 3401-position model. Lineage: Eukaryota; Fungi; Neocallimastigomycota; Neocallimastigomycetes; Neocallimastigales. The record is from RNAcentral.